GAUCAACCAUAUGAAGGCUUCAGCUCAGUUUCUGGAACUGUAAAUGCUCAAUAAAAAUUAAUUGUUAUUAUUGCUAGGAACCGAGUGCCCACCAGCCCAGGUGCAACACAGAGAAAGGAAGAAAGGCUAUUUAAGAAUGCCCACAGAGGAAGGAAGCAGGAUGGCACCUAAAAUCGGGAGGACUCAACUAUUAUUCAGAGAUGAAGGAGCUGCUCUUCUGGUCUUUAAUAACAUCCAUCAAGACUCUGGACUCCACUCGGGCCCUUGGUUAGCUGUUGACAUGGGAAAUUUAUUCAUGUGAUCAUGAGCCAACAAUCAUACAUGGAGUGUCAGGUGCUGUCCUAAGUAUCAGGGACAGAGACAUGAAAGAUAUAGAUGAAGUCAUACUAUCAGAUCAGGUACUCAGGUAAGGUUUGAGCCAGAAUGAUUUAAAGGAGCAAACCCUGCAUCAGCUGGAAAUAUUUGCAUUCAUGUGCAAAGGCCCUGAGGUGGGCUGUAAGUUCAGUGUGCUAGAGAACAGCUAGAAGGAGACGCCUGGGCGGGGUGCGGGGGUGGGGGGGAUGAGGUUCAAGAAGAAGACAGGUAAGACCUUGCAGGUCAUAGAGGGAAUCGGCAUUUUGUACCAAGUGAGCUGAGAACUGCUGUAAGAUUCUGAGCAGAAGACUGUCAUCAUCUAAACUGUGUUUUUAGAAGAUCACCCUGAACUAUAGUGGGGUAAAUAAGGGUGGAAGUAAGUUAGGAGACUACUGUAGCAGGUCAGGUGAGAGACAGUGGUGGGGUCUGGGGAGAGACAAUGGUGAGAAGAGGCUUAGAAAUAAUAAUACUCUUGGGACAAUGCCUUCUGUACUUAAGUUUUGAAGGAUCAGUCCAAGAUUUUCUGAUGGGUGUGUGUGUGUGUGUGUGUAAGAG
RNAcentral lists this long non-coding RNA (909 nucleotides) under Mustela putorius furo (domestic ferret). RNAcentral's name for it is "lncRNA (ENSMPUG00000025948.1)". Lineage: Eukaryota; Metazoa; Chordata; Mammalia; Carnivora; Mustelidae. The record is from RNAcentral.